This 409-nucleotide long non-coding RNA is filed under the name Pan troglodytes (chimpanzee). RNAcentral's name for it is "long non-coding RNA NONPTRT015034". The record is from RNAcentral. Lineage: Eukaryota; Metazoa; Chordata; Mammalia; Primates; Hominidae.
UAAAAGUUGAAACUAAAAAUACAUGAAAAAGUAAACAAAAUUUUACAAACCUGUGUCUAACUGUUUUUCUCCAUUUAUUUGACUGGAAUCCAAAUCCUGUGCUCUUAUCCACUAAGCUACACAGAAACCUUUCUUUUUCUCUGACAUAGUUAGCUUGCUUCUCAUUCAAGUUAUUUUUGUUGUCUAUAUUAGUUAUUAUCUUUCUUUCUAAAAAUUUUUAAUUAUAAAAUUUAUAUAAUAUGAAAUUUACCAUCUUAACUAUUUUAAGUGACAGUUCAGUAGUGUUAAAUACAAAUUGCUGUGUAACCAAUCCCCAAAACUCUUUUCAUUUUGCAAACUUGAAACUCUGUACUCAAUAAACAAUUCUCUCCUCCUUCAUUUUCUCAGCCUCUAGAAACCAUCAUGCUAC